This 337-nucleotide long non-coding RNA is filed under the name Physcomitrium patens. Its description in RNAcentral is "long non-coding RNA (PPAT_LNC001635)". The record is from RNAcentral. Lineage: Eukaryota; Viridiplantae; Streptophyta; Bryopsida; Funariales; Funariaceae.
UAUUCGAGGAUUUUUCAUCCAAAUUUGUCGUGAGAUCUUCAUUCAACAAAUCCAAUUCCUAUACCUGAGACUCAAGAUGGUAAUUUGGUUGUCGUGCUCAUCUAACAUCUUCUGCCAUUCUUCUGUCGGUUUCAAAGGUAUCUCCAAAGGUAUUAUCGCUGAAACUGGCGUAUUGGUUUGUACUAAAAUAUUGGCCUCCUUUUCUAAUGCAGCUAGUUUAGUCUGCAACAUUACAACCUCUAUCUGCAGCCGUUUUUGCCAUUCCUUCCACUCGGUCUCCAUCCUUGCUUUCUCAGACACCAUAUUUGCCAUCUUCUCCUUUUCUGCCAUCCACUUC